This 253-nucleotide ribosomal RNA is filed under the name uncultured bacterium. RNAcentral's name for it is "partial 16S ribosomal RNA". It matches the Rfam family "Bacterial small subunit ribosomal RNA", at positions 524 to 776 of the family's 1533-position model. The record is from RNAcentral.
CACGUAUGGAGCAAGCGUUAUCCGGAUUUACUGGGUGUAAAGGGAGCGCAGGCGGCUUUGCAAGUCUGAUGUGAAAGGCCGGGGCUCAACCCCGGGACUGCAUUGGAAACUGUAAAGCUAGAGUGCCGGAGAGGUAAGCGGAAUUCCUAGUGUAGCGGUGAAAUGCGUAGAUAUUAGGAGGAACACCAGUGGCGAAGGCGGCUUACUGGACGGCAACUGACGCUGAGGCUCGAAAGCGUGGGGAGCAAACAGG